ACGGACACAUCAUGUUGUAGCACUGGUUCCCAUAUGAUCACUGAAGUUAAGCAACAUCAAGCUUGGUCAGUACCUAGAUGGGUGACUGCUUAGUAAUACUGGGUGCUGUAA
Molecule: non-coding RNA, 111 nt
Organism: Acanthosepion pharaonis
Lineage: Eukaryota; Metazoa; Mollusca; Cephalopoda; Sepiida; Sepiidae
Source: the annotation of a GenBank genome assembly